RNAcentral lists this small RNA (105 nucleotides) under bovine gut metagenome. RNAcentral's name for it is "RT-5 RNA". It matches the Rfam family "RT-5 RNA". Rfam says of the family: Clostridium (Firmicutes). Environment (Cow rumen (57)) The record is from RNAcentral.
AGCGCCUGCGGCGGACCCGGCUCGGAAUAUCACAAAUGCUUCGCAGGCAGCGUUUCCGCGUACGGUCUUGUAUAAUUCCAUAAUUAAUGGAAUUUAACGUCUUCU